Molecule: non-coding RNA, 5513 nt
Organism: Paramuricea clavata
Lineage: Eukaryota; Metazoa; Cnidaria; Anthozoa; Malacalcyonacea; Plexauridae
Source: the annotation of a GenBank genome assembly
GUUCUUUAAUAAACUAUUUUCUAUGUGCCAAUACAACGAAAAUUGAAUAUUGUAACACGACAAUGAGUAUAUAUCGUCGCUUGUAAAUGUAUUACAGUAUUAACUAUUUUUAAAAAGGUUAUACAUACUGUCAUAAGCUUUGGACUACCCCAUUCUUUAAUAACAAAAAUAAAAACAUAAUGCUAAUAUUGUGGUAAUAAAUUGGCUUUACUGAAAGAACAUACUAAAAACCUCGUCCACAUUUAGCUGGCCAUCUUCUUUAAAAAUGCAAGUUUUAAAGGACAUCGGGAAAAAAGUCAAGUCGACAUGUAGUUUGAUAUCGUUAGAAAGAACUUUGAAAACAUUAAUGAAAGUUAUUUUAAACUUUUUAAUAUCUGUCUUUUUGACUGUAGUUUCUUUGACUUGUUAAUGAACUGAAUGAAAAAUGUCAUUGCAUGCAAAUUUGAAAUGUCGAAAAAAAGAAACUUUUUGAUCAUUUAGUUAAUAAUAUGAUACGAUGUCCUUUAAUUGGCAAACGAGAAUAAAAGUUGAUUAGAGUUGUAGCUCUCGUAAACUGUCAUCAAACAUCGAGUGUAGGUCAACUCUCAUCAACUUUAAGCAGGCUCACAUUUUGAGGACACUAAACGUAGAUAUAUAAGCGAUGCUAAUUAAACAAUGCUUGAUCUAAUACGCUGACAGUAAAAACAAAUUAGAGCUGUUUUCAAGAAGUUUUUUAAAGAACGGUUUUUCUGUCACUCCCAGACCUUGUACUACAAUCAUUUUCAAAUGUGUUGAGACAGACGCCCCAACUACAUAUUAUUUUGCAAAACUUUGAUCCCCCUGCACCCUCAGGUCUCAGUUAGCAUCUUACUUUGGUGUAAUAUAGUGUUUGGAAUUCGGUAAACAACAUUGAAUGAGGGGCGGGGGGAAAUAAAAAUGCUUGUAAUAAUUUGCAUUUAUCCACUGAUGAUCUAAAACCGAAAACAACUUUUAAAAAUGAUUGUAGGUUUUAAACAUUACUUAACUUGUCUUAAAGUUCGCAUGUUAACUUGUGAAUGGCUGAAUAGUAGUACAGUAUCAAAUACAAUUACAUACAUUCUUGUAUUGUAACAAAAUGAGGGGUCGGUCACGGCAGAAAUUUCGCGUACACUCCACUCAGAACUCAGGUUAAAAACCAUGCAGAAAUUUAAAUUAACUGAGUAGAAAUCAGUUGAUUUUGAAACCAUACAGAAAACACGUAAGUUCUUACAAAAGGCUAAACAUAUCACCAUAUUGCAAGAACUAGCUUGAUUCACUUUUGCGUAUUUCAGAUCGGAUAUUUCAUAAAUAAAACAGUAUUUUGUUUUCAAUGUUUUAAACGUAUUUUCAGGCAUUGAAAUAUACCAAAAAUGCUGUAAUUGGUAUGUUCAGGAAAUGUUGAAAUCAGCCGAAGUUCAGGAAAUCAACUCAGAAAUAAACUUGAUUUCAAAAUCUCGUACGCUUUCAACUGUCAUGACGGACCCCUUUGAGUAAAAGCACGCAUUACGAAAUCAUUAUUUGUUUCUCAACAGUAGCUUAUCUUUGAGUUCGUUAUAGAGGCUGUUUAUACGAGUCUGGCUGGCUGGUUGACCAGGUUAAACGAGGCGUUCGCCUUCACACAAAUUUUUUAAAGAAAUAAUUUCACUUUAAAUAAAAACUGGGCCAGUCCGUUUAACUGGGACAUCGUCGGCUGAAAUUUAUCCAUGCAAAGUCGUUUAACCGGGCUAGCAAAAAAACAUUGUUACACUUGACAAUAUUUAUUUGAAUUGAUAUUUUCUCGAUAAAUUUUGAUUUCUAAACUUACAAAUUGUUCUUGUUGCUUAAGUAGUUUUAAAUCGGAAAUUUGUGCAGGAAAAAAGCAUGAAUUUAACUUUUGUGACAAACCUCGCAGUAUUAAACUCGUCAACGAGUUUUUCUUGUUAAUUUUGGUUUGUUGAAGUCUUAAACCUCGAUCAAACGAGAGUUGGCAGUCACGUGACCUUGGUUAGCUGUUCUUAAUGCUUUCCCAACACUAUCAUGUAUUCUAUUGAAGUUAAAACAUUGUUGGAACACUCAUGAAAUCUACAUUUUGUUAAUCUAGAGCUUGAAAUGUCGAGUGUAACAAUUCGUGACUGCCAGCUCUCAUCAACUUUCAUUUUCAUUUGACCGGGGGCUUUAGCCCGGCUAAUAUAGAGCCAGAACGCACGUCUCAUAUAAACAGCCCCUCAGAGACCCUUGCAAUGUAGAACGGCAACUCCCGAAGACGACGGCUAUUCAUACAAUGAAAUUCAUAACAUUUUAGAAAAGAAUGAAUAAUCAUAAACCACAGAUUUUUGCGGUACUCAGGAAAUGAAUUGCUCAGUAAAGAACUAUUCUCAAACAUAAAUCCGUUUAGCUGUACUAAAUUCAUUCGAUUGAUAAAACACGACAAAAUUUUCUUUACAAUUUCUCGUUUGAAUGAGUUUGUGUUGGCUGUUGCCUUCGCGUUGACAUGCUACAUCAUUUAAGGUAUUUUUUAGUGAGUUUGGCAAACAACAACGGCAACAGCAGGAAACAAAAUUACUUAUACUUUUGUAUUCGAGCGAAAACAUACAUUACUAAACUUUUAAAACCACUUAUCUUUCUUUUAAACAACCUUGAAAUUCCCUGAAGUAGCAACAGAGAGUGCAUGAAUUCACAUAAAACACCGCAAACGACUUGAACGUUUUACUGUGUUGGCGUGGUCAUGAGCCGUGAAAAUGAUGUAAAUGACGUAGUGUUUGUAAAAAUUGAGAAAAUAAUACAUCUUUAGGAUGGAAAUUAUAGUCGCCUUUGUCUUUAUAGAGUAAAGAUGCUGUUGUUGACGAUCACGUUCUCGUUGCUGUUGUAUAUUCGCCAAACUCUUUUUUGUCUAAACUCGCGACAGUGUUGACUGAAUGAAAUCAAUAUAUUAAAACACUUAUCGGUUAAUUAUUAUUUCUAUCAGUUAUUACUCGUUUAUAUAAGUUUACUCGAUGUUUGCUAAACUAACACGAUGUUAUUAUAUAAUUUUCAUCCAGCUUUAAGCUUGCGUUUUAGUAAAAUUGAUGUUACCAUUAUCGCCGGUUUUAUUGACCGAUUCGAAAACUAGCUAGCACAAUUUUUCAUUAUUUUCUAUUUUAUGCAUUGCCAGGCUAAAAAACAACUUUUCAACACAGACUUGUUAAGGCAAAGUGUAAACAUUUAAGAUUGAAAUUAUGAAAACAAUAAAGGUAGGUGAAAUUAUAUCCUUUUGUUUGAAAUGUGCAAAAAAAAGUAUUAAAACGAGGCUAGUCAGUCUUCUUUGCUAAAUUUUCUUUUAUUUUUAACAUUUAAUUUCUAAAAAAAGGGAUACAUUUAUACUUUGCAAAACUGUCAGUCUUGAAAUAAUCUGUAAGGCGGAAGUGAUUACCUUGGUUGAAAUUAAUUUUGGAAGAAAAAAAAUGACAACUAUUGUAUUUUUCGAAUCGGUCUAUGUCAUUGGUAAUUAAGAUUUUAUGAUUUUUAUUUUACGAUAAGUGUUAUUGAUUAGCCUAUGAAUUGUAAACAUGUGAAAAUGAUGUAAUUGUAAAGACUCACUCAAAGAUGUGUGCAGGAUUGUGUGGCAUAUUGCAUGAGGAUUGUACAGUAUAUGAAUUUCGAUGCGAUUUCAAGACUUUCAUAAUCAAUGACAACGGCACAAAUUUUCGUUGCUGAAUGCAAAGGAUUUGUAGGUUUUAAACUAAGUUUGUCUGGUACCAAAACGUUUGUUACUUUUUGUCUGUAUGAUGAAAUGAUUCCAAGAUAUUUGUGUUUGUAUAUAUGUGAAGUAUAAUAGUCUGUGAUCUAUAUAAAGCGUCAGUUCAUGUACCUAUGCGAUAGCAUCAAUCGUUUCAAUUUAAGCUAGCUUCUAACCCUUCAUGAUGGAUUUCUUUUUAAAGUAAAGCGGGAAUACACAAGGAUAUAUCAGCAUAUUAACAUAUACGACCGAUGUUCUGGUUAUCACCUUCAAAACUCAAAAAGAACUUAUCAAAAGUUAGUAUUAGACAACAUAUCAAUAAGAUGAAAUAUGCACAACAUUCAGACCCCAUAUAUUUCAAAUAGUUUUUAUCAAGUAAGUAAGUCAAGGAAUGGACACAAAAUUAAUAUGGCGUCUAGGUUCUGUUGGUUGGACACAAUGUUCUUUAAGUUCCUCUGUAGCAAUAUUUCAUAGUAUAGACUCAAUCACCAUUCGUAUGGACGAAAAAUCUGGACUCAUGGUGUCCAAAAAUGUCUUUGGACCACUCUCUUUGCAGCCCAAUUGUUAAGCAUCUUUAUUAAAUAAUUAUUAUCGAGCUUUUCGGUGGCAAGCAGUGAGAUGAUGUUUCUUUUUUCGUUUCCAACCCUUCACACCAGUCUCGGCCAACGUCUUUUUUAUUUAUACUGUGCAUGCCUAUUAGAUUUUGCUGUAAGCUUUACUUUUUCUUUUCUUGCUCUCUUCUGUGUGGACUUUAUUUUUUCGUAGGAAUCUUGAGACUUCCAUUCUUGCUUCCAUUCAAUAUCUUCUUCUAGCGCAUGUCGAUGACACUUGGUUGGUUGCAGCAAACUCCAGCGGUAAUCUUCCGUUGCGAAACGCCUACCUGGGACAAUGCUAACACCAUUCCUCGACGUUCUGCACAGAUUCUUUGAUUGGCAUGGAUACAUGGUUUCACAUCUUAUUUCGGUUCUUUUUGACAGAUGAAGAUCUUUCUGUUGGAACUAGCAAACAUUGCUACAUUCGAUAUGACAGUUAAGUAGAACGAAAUUUCUUGCAGAGAUUGUUAUGUAUUCAAAUGGUUAAUUAUUUUUAUAUCUAUGGCGCAUAUGUCAUGAAAAAAUGUUACCGCAAGAUAUUGCUUAUACUUUAUGUGGAUUUCUAACUUGAGCAGUUCUUUUGCCCGCCAGUGUAUUAGUAUAGGUAAUCAUGCGAUGGCGAGUACAAUUAGGGAUUAAUAGUACGUGUGAUGUUUGGAAAUUUUGCCAAAAUUGGACGAGCCGCCGGGAGCAACAUCGCUUCAUAUAUUCUCUCGCCAAAGCCCAGUCCUGCCAGACUUUCAACCAAAAUUUGGUGCUUUUGUCCGUAUUUUCAUUUAGUUCUUUUGUUAAAGCAAAUUUUGGUGCUUUUGUUCGUAUUUUCAUCUAGUUCCUCUAGGGCAAUUUCAUUUCACGCUUGUGUUUAAAAUACUUUUCCGCCAUUUUGUUUGUUUUGGGAAAAUCAUUAAUUGUACUGCAGUACAAUUAAUGAAAUACUUGUACUCCUCUCAACCAAUCAGCAUCCAGUAAUUUUGUAAUGCUAAUAAUAAGUAUAUUAACAUACGACUGGCAAUGCUCUGAUUGUUACCAUCAGUCUUCAUAAAUCCUCGGACUAGCUUUUCAACCGUUUAUGACGGAUCCAUUUUCAACGCAAAGCGAAAAUACACAAGGAUAUAUAGCAUAUUAAUAUAUGACGCCAGAAAGGCAGAAGGUUAUAUUUUCAUUCGUGUUUCUAUGUGUGUGUCUGUCAGCACGAUAACUUAACAAAUAUCAAACGUAUUAACACGAAA